Molecule: ribosomal RNA, 332 nt
Filed under: uncultured eukaryote
Lineage: Eukaryota
Description: partial 18S ribosomal RNA
Rfam family: Eukaryotic small subunit ribosomal RNA
Source: RNAcentral
CCCUUAGAUGUUCUGGGCCGCACGCGCGCUACACUGUUCGACGCAGCGAGUCUUAACCUUGCCCGAAAGGUUUGGGUAAUCUUCAGCAAAGUCGAACGUGAUGGGGAUCGAUCAUUGCAAUUAUUGAUCGUGAACGAGGAAUUCCUAGUAAGUGCAAGUCAUCAGCUUGCGCUGAUUACGUCCCUGCCCUUUGUACACACCGCCCGUCGCUACUACCGAUUGAAUGGUUUAGUGAGAUCUCUGGAUUGACGCUGGCUAGGGGGCGACCCUUGGCCAGACUGCUCGAGAAACUGCUCAAACUUGAUCAUUUAGAGGAAGUAAAAGUCGUAACA